RNAcentral lists this ribosomal RNA (236 nucleotides) under uncultured bacterium. RNAcentral describes it as "partial 16S ribosomal RNA". It matches the Rfam family "Bacterial small subunit ribosomal RNA", at positions 105 to 334 of the family's 1533-position model. The record is from RNAcentral.
CCGCACGGUGAGUAACGCGUAUGCAACUUGCCUAUCAGGAGGGGAUAACCCGGCGAAAGUCGGACUAAUACCGCAUGAAGCAGGGGCCCCGCAUGGGGAUAUUUGCUAAAGAUUCAUCGCUGAUAGAUAGGCAUGCGUUCCAUUAGGCAGUUGGCGGGGUAACGGCCCACCAAACCGACGAUGGAUAGGGGUUCUGAGAGGAAGGUCCCCCGCAUUGGUACUGAGACACGGACCAA